AGAUACAGAACUACACUGUGAGAGUGGUAGCCACCAACUACAAGCAGUUCGCUAUAGUGUUUCUGAAGAUGACUCUCCCAAACAGUGUGUACAUCGAGAUCACCCUCUACGGGAGAACCAAGGAGCUGAGCCUUAAACUGAAGAAACGCUUUGUCAAGUUUUCCAAGUCUGUGGGCCUCACUGAGGACAAUAUCAUCUUCACUGACCCCAUAGAGAAGUGCAUCGAUGAGUGAACCAACAGUGUCACCACUCUGUCCACCGCAUUCUUCCACUCACUUCUGCUCACAAUGACAACUGGAUGCCCCACCAAACACAAUGGCAAUGAGAGAGACAGGAGAUCCUUCCUACAGUUCAGGGCUGUAGCAAAAGCCACCCUGCUGAUGGAGCCCCAACGAUCUGCUAAAUAAAC
Fukomys damarensis (Damara mole-rat) is the source of this 409-nucleotide long non-coding RNA. RefSeq lists it as uncharacterized. Lineage: Eukaryota; Metazoa; Chordata; Mammalia; Rodentia; Bathyergidae. The record is from RefSeq and is a predicted model, not a curated record. The transcript has 4 exons.